GCUGAACUUAAGCAUAUCAUAGGCCCGAAGGAAAA
RNAcentral lists this ribosomal RNA (35 nucleotides) under Fusarium verticillioides. Its description in RNAcentral is "partial 28S ribosomal RNA". Lineage: Eukaryota; Fungi; Ascomycota; Sordariomycetes; Hypocreales; Nectriaceae. The record is from RNAcentral.